AGCGAACGCUGGCGGCAGGCCUAACACAUGCCAGUCGAACGAACCUUUCGGGGUUAGUGGCGGACGGGUGAGUAACACGUGGGAACGUGCCUUUAGGUUCGGAAUAACUCAGGGAAACUUGUGCUAAUACCGAAUGUGCCCUUCGGGGGAAAGAUCUAUCGCCUUUAGAGCGGCCCGCGUCUGAUUAGCUAGUUGGUUGAGGUAAUGGCUCACCAAGGCGACGAUCAGUAGCUGGUCUGAGAGGAUGAUCAGCCACAUUGGGACUGAGACACGGCCCAAACUCCUACGGGAGGCAGCAGUGGGGAAUCUUGCGCAAUGGGCGAAAGCCUGACGCAGCCAUGCCGCGUGAAUGAUGAAGGUCUUAGGAUUGUAAAAUUCUUUCACCGGGGACGAUAAUGACGGUACCCGGAGAAGAAGCCCCGGCUAACUUCGUG
This 434-nucleotide ribosomal RNA is filed under the name uncultured bacterium. Its description in RNAcentral is "partial 16S ribosomal RNA". It matches the Rfam family "Bacterial small subunit ribosomal RNA", at positions 29 to 507 of the family's 1533-position model. The record is from RNAcentral.